CCCUUAGAUGUUCUGGGCCGCACGCGCGCUACACUGACGAAGUCAGCGAGCAUGUCCUACGCCGACAGGUGCGGGGAAUCUUGUCAAACUUCGUCGUGAUGGGGAUUGAUUAUUGAAAUUCUUGAUCAUCAACGAGGAAUUCCUAGUAAGCGCAAGUCAGCAGCUUGCGUUGAUUACGUCCCUGCCCUUUGUACACACCGCCCGUCGCUACUACCGAUUGAAUGGUUUAGUGAGAUCUUCGGAGUGGCGCCACUGCGGCUCAGCAAUGGGCUCGGUGGAUGCCGAAAAGUUGAUCAAACUUGAUCAUUUAGAGGAAGUAAAAGUCGUAACA
RNAcentral lists this ribosomal RNA (331 nucleotides) under uncultured eukaryote. Its description in RNAcentral is "partial 18S ribosomal RNA". It matches the Rfam family "Eukaryotic small subunit ribosomal RNA", at positions 1470 to 1796 of the family's 1831-position model. The record is from RNAcentral.